Molecule: ribosomal RNA, 537 nt
Filed under: uncultured bacterium
Lineage: Bacteria
Description: bacterial SSU rRNA
Rfam family: Bacterial small subunit ribosomal RNA
Source: RNAcentral
GGGCGAAAGCCUGAUGGAGCAACGCCGCGUGAGUGAAGAAGGAUUUCGGUUCGUAAAACUCUGUUGUAAGGGAAGAACAAGUACAGUAGUAACUGGCUGUACCUUGAUGGUACCUUAUUAGAAAGCCACGGCUAACUACGUGCCAGCAGCCGCGGUAAUACGUAGGUGGCAAGCGUUGUCCGGAAUUAUUGGGCGUAAAGCGCGCGCAGGUGGUUUCUUAAGUCUGAUGUGAAAGCCCACGGCUCAACCGUGGAGGGUCAUUGGAAACUGGGAGACUUGAGUGCAGAAGAGGAUAGUGGAAUUCCAAGUGUAGCGGUGAAAUGCGUAGAGAUUUGGAGGAACACCAGUGGCGAAGGCGACUAUCUGGUCUGUAACUGACACUGAGGCGCGAAAGCGUGGGGAGCAAACAGGAUUAGAUACCCUGGUAGUCCACGCCGUAAACGAUGAGUGCUAAGUGUUAGGGGGUUUCCGCCCCUUAGUGCUGCAGCUAACGCAUUAAGCACUCCGCCUGGGGAGUACGGUCGCAAGACUGAAACU